AAGUCCUUUCUCCGUUUGCAUUGGGUUCACACAAACAAAACACAACAAAGCACAAGGCAAUAGUAUAUUCACAAUAAUGUGCUCAAGUGAGCAAAAGGCAAAUUACAUUAACAUAAACAUGAGCUCAAGUGAGCAAAGGGCAAAGACAAAUGAAUUAAUGAGCAAGAAAUUAAAUUGCAUUAAAGUAAAUUGCAAGAAUUAAUGCUUGAAUUAAAAGUUAGAGAUUAGUAGUUAGGGUUAGUGUGCCAUAAGGCAAUUUAGCGCUACGUUAAGCAAUCGUAAGUGGACUAAUGUAGUAGUCACACCUAUCUGAGGCCAGUCAAUAAAACUAUAGGCAACAAACACAAGUUAGAGAUCAUGACUAGU
Molecule: long non-coding RNA, 366 nt
Filed under: Lathyrus oleraceus (garden pea)
Lineage: Eukaryota; Viridiplantae; Streptophyta; Magnoliopsida; Fabales; Fabaceae
Description: Pisum sativum (pea) long non-coding RNA (PSAT_LNC020871)
Source: RNAcentral